CCUCAGGCUCUGGACUAUAAGGGGUAAUCACAGAUAAAUACGGUCUAGGCACGUCGCCUACAGAAUAUCUACCACUUACCCAUUAGCCAAAUGAGUAAGCGCUAUACGAUCCUAUGCAUAAACAUAAUUCUAAUCUAACUAUGCCAAGCAUAUAAUCAAAAUAGACUAAUAACAAUAUAAUUGAGACCAUAAGAAAAUAGAAUAAAGUCAAUUCUGAUAUAAUCAAAUAGAUCAAAGUUAUAUUUAUAGUAGCAAGAACUAAUAUAAAUAUCACAAAGAAGAAUAAAAGUA
This 291-nucleotide long non-coding RNA is filed under the name Sorghum bicolor (sorghum). RNAcentral's name for it is "long non-coding RNA (SBIC_LNC014000)". Lineage: Eukaryota; Viridiplantae; Streptophyta; Magnoliopsida; Poales; Poaceae. The record is from RNAcentral.